GUUAGUCAAACCAUCCUCGUCUGUGUCGGGGAGGCGUUCUCCUCUAAUUCAAGCCACGAUCAGCAGUGGAAAUUCUGUUUGACUCAGCUGCGCAGCCUUUAGCCCCCUGUGGCUGCAGCCCGCAGUGGUGGUCUGGCCCUUCACAGCCUCGGUUCAGGGAGAACCAAUGUGCAAAAGUGAUGGAGCGACCUCUGGGGUCCCCUGGACGCGGGUCCUGCCAGAGGUUCCUCACCAGACGAGGAAUAACGGCGGCUCUCCCAGGCUCCCGCUGGCUCGCCAUUUAGGCGAAAGAAAACUUCGCCGUCGGCUGCGUGAGUGUGGCUACGGCAACAUCUGGUGGUUCAAUCCAGAUGUGGGUCCAGAUUAUAAAACUGUCACAGAUUCCAGUUGAAACUCGUCAAGCUUUGAUCUUUCUCCUACGCCGUCCGCCGUCCACGUUUGCUGCUCUUCCUCCAGCACCAUGUUGACAUGACAACAGGGUCUGAGGCAGCUGAGGCCUCAACAGACGGACCGUUCAGGGUGAUCUCUUCAGGAGAUCUGCUCCUAAAUGGGUUUGUCUCCCACACUUCCAACACAGUUCUAAUCUGAUGAAGACAGAUGAGUCUGCAAUUGUCCCCCGACCAUUUGUCAUUGCGACGUGCGUUUUUGUUAUCAGCAGUGACAGAUUGCGCCACAUUUGGGAGCUCACUUCAAAGCAGAAGCUUCGCUCAAAGCAGUGUGAGCCCCUCAGAGUGGAAGCA
This 740-nucleotide long non-coding RNA is filed under the name Takifugu rubripes (torafugu). RNAcentral describes it as "lncRNA (ENSTRUG00000028259.1)". Lineage: Eukaryota; Metazoa; Chordata; Actinopteri; Tetraodontiformes; Tetraodontidae. The record is from RNAcentral.